This is a long non-coding RNA of Mastomys coucha (southern multimammate mouse), 1770 nucleotides long. RefSeq lists it as uncharacterized. The transcript has 4 exons. Lineage: Eukaryota; Metazoa; Chordata; Mammalia; Rodentia; Muridae. The record is from RefSeq and is a predicted model, not a curated record.
AGAGAAUCCUGCUAUGUAACUCAGGCUAGCCUUAAAGAUCUUCCUGCCUCAUUCACCUAAGGGCUGAAGUUCCCUGCAAAGACCAAAAUAAUGAGUAUUCAAACAUCUUUAAUUCAAGAAUUCAUCUUGAAAGCUUUCUUCUGAUCAUUGUUUUUGCCUCUAUUGAUAUCGGAGCUCAUCUGGUCUCAGUUAAUUUGCCAACCAUGGAAGCAUCAGAAGCUGUUAAAUAGGUGAUGAGCUGUCUAAAUUGGGAGAAAAGAUAUCAAAACAUGUGACUCCUUACUUCCCAUUAUAGGAAGCCAAUUUGAGUAGACUUGCAAUAAAAUUAUCUUGAAAUAAAAUCGUAGCAUCUGACUGGGAAGAAACAAAACUAUGGCUACUCUCUUGAAAUGGCAAGGGUGCUUUUCACAUAUGUGUGCAGCAGGAAAGGUCAUGGUUUGCUCAAGGUUAUAUCAAGAGGCAGAAUCAGCAGUAACCUCACUGUAAUGGUUUGGCUUUGUUUGGCCCAGGGAGUGGCACGAUUAGAAGGUGUGGACCUGUUAGAUAGAGUAGGUGUGUCACUGUGGGUGUGGGCUUUAAGAACCUAGUCCUAGCUGCCUGAAAGUCAGUAUUCUGCUAGCAGCCUUCAGAUAAAGAUGUAGAACCCUCAGCUCCUCCUGCACCAUGCCUGCCUGGAUGCUGCCAUGUUCCUACCUUGAUGAUAAUGGACUGAACCCCUGAACCUAACAUCAAUGAUGCAUUCAGAAAGCUGAGCAGGCAGCAGGAACGUGCUGGUCAAGUAGAGCACAAAGACUCACAGGGUCAGAGGAGCUAUAGUAGGCAGCCAACCAUUCACACUUGGAGAGCACGCAAGGCAUUGUAAAGAUAAACCAAGUCUGUGAAAAUCUAUCAAGAAUGGUUGUGUACAUGAAAAUGCCCACUGUAUGGCUUCAUGAACACAGUAAGGGCUGUGGGUAUUCAAUUAUAAGAACCUUAAACCAAAAGUAGUCUAGGUUUAAAUUUGGAACCUCAAAGCUGCACUCAGUACCUUCUUCAAAGAGAACCUGCCACGGCAUCUUUUUGACAUUGUGCUGCCUCAGAACUGAAUCUUUACUCAGGAAACAGACUUCCUGGGCUGUACCGAUUGACACCCAUGCUCAAUCCUUGUAGUGCCCUGACAACUAGUUGUGAUAACAGCUACCAUGUACUGGUCUGCCUGCCGUCACCCUGCACGAGAAGUUUCUAUGUGCAAUGGACAAUGGUUCACACAGAAACUCAACUGUUCCAAAGGCUGUGAAUAAGUGACUAUCGAGCGUUCAGCUGUAACUUGGAAACCUAUGCCAUGCCUUUCUCCAAGGUCAGGGGACAAAAGGAAACUAAACAGCCAAGCAAAUAAACAGAAUUUGAAAGCAGAACUAGCUGGGACGGUGGGUAAACACAACAGUGGGGGAAUAACAGAGGUGAACAUGUUCACAGAACAUUGUUAUUGCAUAUGAAAAUGUCAAAUUUUUAGAAGAAUAUGUAACUUAUUCAUGUAUUUCAAAUAGUUGCUUUCUUAUCAUAAUGAAAUGCCCAAGAAUUGUUACUCUGGGACAUGUAAUGUGAGAGUCAGUGGUGACACCCAUACGUGUUACAGAGUCUCAUCUUCUUAGCUGCAGUCUCAUAAACGCUGGCUUGAUGAUCUAUGUGUGUGGACACCAUCAGUGUGGGUUAUGUGAUUUCUUUUCUGCAGGGUGAACAAGCAUUGACAGCAAAGCAGAAAGAAAAAAAAGUAUGUUUUUUCCUCAUUUC